RNAcentral lists this ribosomal RNA (253 nucleotides) under uncultured bacterium. Its description in RNAcentral is "partial 16S ribosomal RNA". It matches the Rfam family "Bacterial small subunit ribosomal RNA", at positions 524 to 776 of the family's 1533-position model. The record is from RNAcentral.
UACGUAGGCAGCAAGCGUUGUUCGGAAUUACUGGGCGUAAAGAGUGUGUAGGCGGUGCUCCAAGUCUGGUGUGAAAUCUCCCGGCUUAACUGGGAGGGUGCAUUAGAAACUGGAAUGCUAGAGGAUGGGAGAGGGAUGCGGAAUUCCAGGUGUAGCGGUGAAAUGCGCAGAUAUCAGGAGGAACACCAAUGGCGAAGGCAGCACUCUGGGACGGUACUGACGCUGAGACGCGAAAGCGUGGGGAGCAAACAGG